AGAGCAGGCCUCCUAGGGACAUCAACCAAGCACAAAAAUCUGAUGUUUUCAACAGGGCAUUCAUCAGUGCCUUUCUGAAUGACAGAACCAAAAUCCCUGUGGUUUACUGUAGAAUGCCUGCUUGUUGGUUCAGAUGUAACCAUCUCAUCCUAGCCUAUGGUGAUCCAUAUCCAUACUGGAGAACAGACCCCUCCCUGCCAGGGGCAAGGCUGCAGCACAAGCCCAGGUUGGACUCCUCCCACUCCAAGGAUGGCAGACAAGCAUCUCUUGAGGCUUCUCUGCAGACAUGGGGCUCCAGCACGAGAUCCUUGAAAUGCACACAGAAGCAGCUUCCACGAUUUGGAAAGGUCAGAGCCCAGAAACAGAUGGAUAAAUAGGUAAACAUGGAGAGGAGGAUGGACUGGCCAGACAGCCCUUGUCAUACAUCUGCAGACAGAACUGUCACGUGGGCACAAUGGGAGCCAGCAGCUCCAGCAUUCUCCUGUGACGUUCCAUGAAGGUAGCCAGAGACUCUAAGCCUUCUAUG
Molecule: long non-coding RNA, 526 nt
Organism: Mus musculus (house mouse)
Lineage: Eukaryota; Metazoa; Chordata; Mammalia; Rodentia; Muridae
Product: predicted gene, 39344
Exons: 3
Source: RefSeq, a predicted model, not a curated record